GCUUAAGAUGUAAAACCAGUUCAUUGAAAACCUUAAACGAUGACAAUCCUAUGUAUAUGCCAACUCAAUUCAGUAAAGCAGAACUAAAGAGGGGUUUGAGGGCUAUAUCUUGAGUAGCUCGUGAAAUCAUGUGGAUAUUAGUUAUGCUAGGGACUGACUUUGAACACCAACAAGAAUCAUAAGUAAAUACCAACAAGAAUCGGCAGAAAAAUGAUGGUAUGCCCCAUUAUAUUAUCAAUAUCUUAAAGAGGUUAAAACAAGAGAAAGUGAGAGAAAAAAAACAGGCAUCAAGGAAAAUGGCUAUCGAGACGAGCAAUGUCCAAAAGAAAACAGAGAUAUAGUUGUAUUCUAAGAAGUAAAGUGCAUUGUAAUAUAGAUUCGUAAACUUGUGUCAAAGCAUCAACAUCAGAAUUUGAAGAGAUACUAGUACCAACAUAAGCAACAAGAAAAAUAAACCUACUUUUUAGAUGCUUGUAAACUUCUUCUUUGCAGUUACAUUCACAGAUGGUUGUGGCUUUGGAUGCUUUUCUGCCUCGCUCGGGUCCAACCA
RNAcentral lists this long non-coding RNA (550 nucleotides) under Trifolium pratense (red clover). Its description in RNAcentral is "long non-coding RNA (TPRA_LNC010865)". Lineage: Eukaryota; Viridiplantae; Streptophyta; Magnoliopsida; Fabales; Fabaceae. The record is from RNAcentral.